RNAcentral lists this ribosomal RNA (1252 nucleotides) under uncultured archaeon. RNAcentral's name for it is "partial 16S rRNA". It matches the Rfam family "Archaeal small subunit ribosomal RNA", at positions 1 to 973 of the family's 1478-position model. The record is from RNAcentral.
AAGUGGGGGAAUCCAUGCUCCGGUCGCCAUGGCCGCGGGAUUGUUGAUCCUGCCGGACCCGACUGCUAUUUGGGUGAGAAUAAGCCAUGCGAGUUGAAUGGGAUGCCUAAAGUUCCCAUAGCAAACUGCUCAGUAACACAUGAUCAACUUACCCUAUAGAGAAAAAUAACCUCGGGAAACUGAGGAUAAUGUUUCAUAAUUGAAUUGGCUUGGAAAAGUUUUUCAAUGAAAGGGAUAAAAAAAAUGGUUUUUAUCUGCUAUAGGAUAGGAUCGUGUUCGAUUAUGGUUGUUGGUGAGAUAAUGGCUCACCAAGCCGAUAAUCGAUAGGGGCCGUGAGAGCGGGAGCCCCGAGAUGGGUACUGAGACAACGACCCAGGCCUUACGAGGCGCAGCAGGCGCGGAACCUCCGCAAUACACGAAAGUGUGACGGGGUUACCCAAAGUGUUCAAUAGAACUGUGGUAGGUGAGUAAUGUCCCCUACUAGAAAGGAGAGGGCAAGGCUGGUGCCAGCCGCCGCGGUAAAACCAGCUCUUCAAGUGGUCGGGAUAAUUAUUGGGCUUAAAGUGUCCGUAGCCGGUUUAGCAAGUUCCUGGUAAAAUCGGGUAGCUUAACUAUCUGCAUGCUAGGAAUACUGCUAUACUAGAGGGCGGGAGAGGUCUGAGGUACUACAGGGGUAGGGGUGAAAUCUUAUAAUCCUUGUAGGACCACCAGUGGCGAAGGCGUCAGACUGGAACGCGCCUGACGGUGAGGGACGAAAGCCAGGGGAGCGAACCGGAUUAGAUACCCGGGUAGUCCUGGCCGUAAACGAUGCAUACUAGGUGAUGGUACGGCCAUGAGCCGUAUCAGUGCCGUAGGGAAACCGUUAAGUGUGCCGCCUGGGAAGUACGGUCGCAAGGCUAAAACUUAAAGGAAUUGGCGGGGAGCACCACAAGGGGUGAAGCCUGCGGUUCAAUUGGAGUCAACGCCGGAAAUCACUAGUGCGGGCGCCUGCAGGUCGACCAUAUGGGAGAGCUCCCAACGCGUUGGAUGCAUAGCUUGAGUAUUCUAUAGUGUCACUAAAUAGCUUGGCGUAUCAUGGUCAUAGCUGUUUCUUGUGUGAAUUGUUAUCCGCUCACCAUCCACACAAACAUACGAGGCCGGAGCAUAAAUGUAAGGCCUGGGGUGCUAUGAUGACUACUCAAUAAUUGGCUGGCUUCAUGACCUUCCAGUCGGAACCUGUCUUGUCAGCUGCCUAUAAUUGGAAAUCGGGUCA